UCAUGAGAUAUAAAUUUAAAUAAUGAUAAUUUAUUAACUUCAGCUGUCACUGGUUGUACUUUGCAGCUUUCUGUAUUUGAUAUAUGAUAAAUUCCUUCUACAGCAUUGUGGGAGAGGUCCAUAAUGGUUCCAAUGCUCACUCUUUAGGCAUCAUCCAGAGGACGGUGUGAAGUAGAGCAUGAAUUAAGCCUGAAGGCUCUUGUCUCUUCUGAUUUACUUUCCUUUCGGGCAAUAAAAGAAAGUAUAAAACCCUGACAUGUGCUGAUGACUUCAGAUGCGUGGAGAUAAAGUGCCCUCUUGAGGCAGUGGACAGCACUACAGACGUUUCAAUUGUGGAACAAUACUUUUCUUGAGGAGUAUACUGUGUAGAUCAUUGAACUACUUGGAUAUAGUACUGGAUGCGUUUUUGACUCUUAAUGCGAGAAUAUUGGGAUGCAGCCAUUCAAAAUUAAGGUGAAGCUAACAUUUUUCCGUGAAAGAAAGCCUGCUUUGCUCAGUCAAGUCCCAUGGUGGGUCAUUCUACUCAGCAUAUUGACUGCACUGUUUUUACUGGGUCUUCUCUUCUACCUGUUAAAGAAGGUAAUGUGAUACUCAUCAUCUCGAAACUAAUUUGGUUUACCAGAAAGAUUAAAAUAAUAUAGUUACAUUGUAGCUAGAAAGGGUUAGUGUAGUUGCAUGUGUUUGAAAACACAUUUUUCAUUUGAAAAAAUCAUUUGCUGUGAUUUUUUUAUUGAAUUGUAUUGUUUUUCUGCUCCUCAGUUUGAAUGCUUAAAUUUUGAAUGUGUAAGAAUAAGGACAGGAACCAGAGUUGUGUCCUCUCAGGAAGAUGGACAAAGCAGUUUUCUAAUUCUGUGGAGAUUUAAUUUUUUCUUGCAUAAGUCAAAAUAAGUUUUUUUCUUUCUUUCUUUUUUGUGAGUUUUUUAUGUUGAGUGUACAUACAAUUUUGAGAAUUAAUAAUUAAAUAAUCUACAAACAAAAGUUUUAAAGUAUCACUAAGGACAAAUAAUGCUACUCUGCUUACUUCACAUCUGAUUAACAUGGUCAUCUUACAUUGUUAAUCAUACAUUUGAGUCUUUAAUGCAGUGAACGAACAAAUUACAUUUACAUAGUAAUGUGCACUGUCUGUAAUGUUAGUGGUAGAGUAAAAUUUCCUUUUGCGAUGUGAUGUAUUUGAAUGGAAUGACUCAAGUGUCACGGAGAAGGAGGUGGAGGUGUGCGCAGGAACAUCUUGAGGGCAGGUGUAAAGAUGAGGAUGGUGCCGAGCACAGAGACUGUGAGGAAGGUCCAGAGAAAAAUCCUGUCCAACACCUGAGCCACAAACUUCCAGUCCUGAACUACCUGGAAAAGAGAAGGAAUGUCCAUUAUCAUUAUCAUAACUGUCAAGACUAGCAUCUUCAUCAUCAAAUUAUUGUCAACACUAAAAAAGUGCUAAUAAAUAUCAUUCCUUUAUCAA
This is a long non-coding RNA of Carassius gibelio (silver crucian carp), 1453 nucleotides long. RefSeq lists it as uncharacterized. The transcript has 4 exons. Lineage: Eukaryota; Metazoa; Chordata; Actinopteri; Cypriniformes; Cyprinidae. The record is from RefSeq and is a predicted model, not a curated record.